Molecule: unclassified non-coding RNA, 3765 nt
Filed under: Leishmania donovani
Lineage: Eukaryota; Euglenozoa; Kinetoplastea; Trypanosomatida; Trypanosomatidae
Description: gene:LdHU3.25.1720(CDS-product:protein_transport_ protein_Sec24C_putative)
Source: RNAcentral
CAUCGCGCACGCACUCGCUCUAUGAAUCCCGUCAUUGAUACGUAAAAGCACCGGAAAGGCAUACAAGCACCCAUUCUCGCACGGUCGUCUACCCGGCUCACUUCCCUUCCUCUUCGCACUCACGUCGUUGUACUUUUCAGACGUCUGCGCGUUUUGCGCGUGCUCACUGCUCCAUGUACAACCUACAAGACCACUCGUCGAACCCGUACGGGGACGGGUAUGGCAGCUACGGGGCUUACAGGUCCGCUGCGGCCUCCGGAGGCGCGCCGGCUGCGAGGCCGUAUUAUGACCCCAAUCAAGGCCACGGUGCGCAGGCGAACUACUACGGCGGUGCCGCGCAGCAGGCCGCUCCCGCUGCGCCAUCGUCUUACAGCUAUGACAGUUACGGAUACACGGCCGGCGCCGCCCCGAGCGCUGCUGCGGCACCGGCUUCUGAGUACCCAUACGGCGGCAGCUACGGCAGCGCCGCGACGAGCGCGCAGGCCUCAUCUGCAAACGCGCCAUCUAUCAACUCAUCGGCGUCACCAUCUUCCGCUCCUGCGCCGUCCGUGGCUGGAUACAAUUCUUACGGCUAUCAAGCCGCUACCGCCGCCCCCACGCCAUCCCGGCAGCCGGCACCAUCAGCGCCAGCCUCAGCAUAUCCGCCACCGCGCAGCACCUCAUCCACAGCUGCGGCGGCCAGUGACCCGUACCCAGCCCCUUCCUCCUCAAGGCCGGAACCGUUGGCGCAGCAGCUACCGCCUGAGCCGACUCAGCCGUACAGCGACGCCCUGUUGGGCAGUGGUGUUCGCGGCAACAACCGUCCGCUGCGCGCCUUGGCUCGACAGCCGCCGACGCGCAUUGUGAACGUGCGCUCCGUGCCAAACCCGGAGCGCAGCAUCCCCCGCAACAGUGGUGCACCGAUCGAGUACCUGACAUGCACGAACGAGCCGCCCUACGCUACUGUCGACUUUCUCGGCCUCGACAACGGCAACGCCAACUCGAAGUUCUUUCGCCCGUCCAUGCUGUGUGCGCCGGGCGAGGAGCGACUUGUGAAGGACAGUCACAUCCCCUUCGGUGCCAUUCUCUCACCGCUGUGUCAGCCGCUCCACAACAAGGAGGUGGUGCCGCUGGUGAAGCAGCCAAAGCCGCCUGUGCGCUGCCACCGCUGCCGCGGCUACAUGAGCUGUCACGCCCGACUUCUCGAGAUGGGCCGCAAGUGGGAGUGUCCGCUGUGCGAGGUGACCAACGAUGUCGUCGGCGACGACUUGGACGCCGUUGAUGGAAUGGGGCGUCGGGUAAACGUGGCGGAUCACCCGGAAAUGGGCUUCGGCAGUGUGGAGUUCGACGUCGACGACUUCCCAGAGUACGCGCUGCGCACCGAGGACAAUGUUGUACUGCCCAGUCGGCCGCUGCAUCACCUGUUUCUCAUCGAUAUCUCGCGCGACGCGGGGCAGCGGUUUCUUUCCGACUACGCGGAGGCGAUUCGGGCUGCCCUGCAGCGCAUGGCGGAGCUGACGCCUGAGUGCAAGGUGUCCUUCAUCACAUUCGCCUCGCAGCUGCACUUCUACGACUUCCGCCACCCCGAUAUGCCGCAGAUGUGCGUUCCGGACGUCGAGAACCCGUUUGUGCCACUGCCCUUCACAAGCCUGUGCUGGAUGGAGGUGGGGGCGGAGCUGGAGCGCCUGGAGGCCUUCCUGAGUCGGCUGCCACGUAUGGUUGCCAACGUGGACGAGUCGGACUGUGUGCUCGGCGCUGCGGUGAAGGCGGCAACGCUGGUGUUGGCGGGUCAGCAUGGCGGGCGUGUGAUCAUGUGCGCAAGCCGGCACCCGCAGCGCGGCAUGGGGCAAAUCGUGCUUCGCGAGCAGCACAGGCUCUACGGCACCGAUCGCGAGAAGGAGCUGCUGCGACCCAUCGAAGGUUUCUGGACGACCACGGCAACCGCGGCGGCGAGGCAGCAGAUUUCGUUUGACCUGUUCAUGUUCGCCACGGGGUACUGUGAGCUGGUGACGUUGUCAAACGUGUGCCACGUGACGAACGGUCGCGUCUUUCUCUUUAGCAACUACGAUCCACUGGUCGAUAGCACCAAGGUGAGCGCCUCCAUGCAGCAGCUGCUGACAGAGGAGGCCGGGUACGCUGGCAUCCUACGCGUCCGCUGCAGCACCGGCCUCCAUGUGCAGCGCUACCGGGGCCACUACCUCUCCCAGACGGUGCAGGACAUGGACCUGGCCAGCAUCACGGGCGGCUCAACGUUUUUUGUGGAGUUCGCGCACGAGGACCAUUUGCCGAAGGAUAACUACGCUCAUUUCCAGACCGCGCUGCUGUACACCACUCGCUCUGGCCACCGCCGGGUGCGGGUGCAGUCGUGUCGGCUGCGUGUCGCCUCCUCCUUGACCGUUCUAUUCCGCAACAUGGACCUGGAGGCGAUCCUGUUCGGCUUCAUCCAGGAUAUCAUGGUGGAGGCGGUGAACAAAGGCCCGCAGCAGGCGCGCCAGGGAAUGACGGACCGCCUCAUUAAGGCCUUUUCCUGCUACCGCCAGUACUGCGCUUCGGACAAGUCGGGUGGCGAGUACGAGGACGUCAAGACCGCCGCCCGCGAUAAAAAGAAUACGCUUCUAAUGCCGCCGCGGCUGAAGCUGCUCCCGGUCUAUCUGCUCUGCCUGAUGAAGUCCGACGCGCUGACGGAGGGCACCAUCGUGCACAUUGACCACCGAGUGGCCAGCAUAUUCGACCUCGUGGCGAUGCCGGCGUACAAGCUACUCAGCUACCUAUACCCGUCCCUCUACUGCCUGGACGACUUAGAGAGCGACCCGACGAUCGGCACGCUGGACGUGACGACUGGAAACUGCAUUCUGCCGCAUCAUCGUCAGCUACUCUUCGACAGCGUCGCGCGAGAUGGCACGUACGUGCUAUGUGACGAACAAGCGCGGCUUGUGUACAUGUGGAUUGGCGAAAAUGUGCCGCCGAAGAUCGCGAAUACGCUGUUUGGCACUUCUGAUGCAGCAUCCGUGUGUGCAGCCGGAGGGCCAGGCGAGGAGUGCUUCAGUGAGCGCCUGCGCAACGUCCUGUACGCUCUCAUGCUGCGCGAGGAUGGCAUGCGGCGUCUCAUCGUGAUUCACCACGGCGAGCGCUCUGAGGACGCCUUCUUCAAGGAGCUCAAGGAGGAGAUGGGCACGAGCAAGAUGGGCUACGAUGAGUACCUGACGCAUCUGCACCGUACCAUACAGACGCACGUGUCAUGAGGCUGGUGCACCUGGACCGGGUGAACGGCGCUGGCAUUCCUUCGACGACCGUGGAUGGCGGUGAUGGUGAUGGUAACCAUGUUUUUCGUUUUAGAGGGGGGGGGUAGGUGGAUGGGCUGCCGGUAAGCGAGGGAGAGAGAGGGACACAUCGCAGGAGGCGGAUGAUGGCGGUGAGGGCCAGCCUAAGCCGUCAGCUCGCUAAUGGUGCCAGUGGAUGUGCACGUUGAAUAUACUGCCGUUUUCCUCUCUCUAUACGUUUUUUUUUUUGGGCUUCACUUGAUGUGUGUGCGUGCGUGCGCGCGCUUGUGUGUCAAACCACUCUUCCUCGCCUCCUCUUGUCCUCUCUCCUUCCAGCGGCUUUGCUUGCGACUGGUCGCGUGUACGUGUGUGCGUGUGCUGCUGCCGUCUACCUCCCUUUCCCCCUCCCUCCCUCUCUCCUUUGCCGAGUUUCGUGCACGUGAAGUAUGUGUGUGUGUGUGCGGAGAAGUCCGUGGCGAGUUGUGUGGCGCGUGCAUGUUGAUACGCCGCUGCUGGGCGCGUUAGU